This 186-nucleotide non-coding RNA is filed under the name Opitutales bacterium. Its description in RNAcentral is "6S RNA". It matches the Rfam family "6S / SsrS RNA". From Rfam's summary of the family: E. coli 6S RNA was the first non coding RNA to be sequenced, but its function was unknown until recently. The record is from RNAcentral. Lineage: Bacteria; Pseudomonadati; Verrucomicrobiota; Opitutia; Opitutales.
CGACUUCUGCAUCGUUCGAGAAGUUUCAUUCGUUCUUUUCCUUACUCCUAAUUACUAGGGAACCUAUCGACAAUCGUUUGCAGUCAGGCCGUAAAUCGGAAGACUAAGAGCGACGCGAGGGUACCCACCUGGACCUAGAAGGUCAUAUAACUUAUGAAUGCGAUGAACGGCGAACGUGGAAGUCAC